CCUACGGGAGGCAGCAGUGAGGAAUAUUGGUCAAUGGGAGGAAUCCUGAACCAGCCAUGCCGCGUGCAGGACGACGGCUCUACGAGUUGUAAACUGCUUUUGUACCGGGGUAAAAUGCUCUACGAGUAGGGUUUUGCAAGUACGGUACGAAUAAGGAUCGGCUAACUCCGUGCCAGCAGCCGCGGUAAUACGGAGGAUCCGAGCGUUAUCCGGAUUCAUUGGGUUUAAAGGGUGCGUAGGUUGUUUUAUAAGUUAGCGGUAAAAUACCGAUGCUCAACAUCGGGGCUGCCGCUGAUACUGUAGGACUAGAGAUCGGAUGCAGCAGGCGGAAUGUGGAGUGUAGCGGUGAAAUGAAUAGAUAUUACACAGAACACCGAUUGCGAAGGCAGCUGGCUAGGCCGGAUCUGACACUGAUGCACGAAAGCGUGGGGAUCGAACAGGAUUAGAUACCCUUGUAGU
RNAcentral lists this ribosomal RNA (459 nucleotides) under uncultured bacterium. Its description in RNAcentral is "partial 16S ribosomal RNA". It matches the Rfam family "Bacterial small subunit ribosomal RNA", at positions 338 to 794 of the family's 1533-position model. The record is from RNAcentral.